Non-coding RNA from Pteropus alecto (black flying fox), 116 nucleotides. NCBI's taxonomy places the organism in Eukaryota, Metazoa, Chordata, Mammalia, Chiroptera, Pteropodidae. The record is from Rfam.
GUCUAUGGCCAUGCUGCCCUGAACAAGCCCGAUGUCUGACCUGAGAAGCUAAGCAGGGUCGGGCCUGGUUAGUACUUGGAUGGGAGACCACCUAGGAAGACCAGGUGCUGUAGGCA